This 1550-nucleotide ribosomal RNA is filed under the name metagenome. Its description in RNAcentral is "bacterial LSU rRNA". It matches the Rfam family "Bacterial large subunit ribosomal RNA", at positions 1397 to 2925 of the family's 2925-position model. The record is from RNAcentral.
CCUUGCCGAAAGGCGUAGCCGAUGGAAAACAGGUCAACAUUCCUGUGCCCGGUGUGAUUGCGAUGGGGUGACGGAGAAGGCUAGUUCAGCAGGGGUUGGUUCCCUGUUUAAGCAUGUAGGAGGAGUUGCCAGGCAAAUCCGGCAGCUCUUAACUCCGAGGUGUGAUGAUGAGGCUCCACGCGAGCCGAAGUGAAUAACGCCCCGCUUCCAGGAAAAGCCUCUAAGCUUCAGAUCACAUUGGACCGUACCGUAAACCGACACUGGUGGGUGAGCAGAUAAUCUGCCAAGGCGCUUGAGAGAACUCGGGUUAAGGAACUCUGCAAAUUGAUACCGUAACUUCGGAAGAAGGUAUGCCUUCGACGGUGUAGGGAUUUACUCCCGAAGCUGUUGAAGGUCGCAGGUAAUCGGUGGCUGCGACUGUUUAUCGAAAACACAGGACUCUGCGAACACGCAAGUGGAAGUAUAGGGUCUGACGCCUGCCCGGUGCCGGAAGGUUAAUUGAUGGGGUUAGCCGCAAGGCGAAGCUCUUGAUCGAAGCCCCGGUAAACGGCGGCCGUAACCAUAACGGUCCUAAGGUAGCGAAAUUCCUUGUCGGGUAAGUUCCGACCUGCACGAAUGGCGUAACGCUGGCCACACUGUCUCGACCCGAGACUCAGUGAAGUUGAAAUCGCUGUGAAGAUGCGGCGUUCCCGCGGCAAGACGGAAAGACCCCGUGAACCUUCACUACAGCUUUACACUGAACUUUGAACCUUUCUGUGUAGGAUAGGUGGGAGGCUAUGAAACUUGGGCGCUAGCUCGAGUGGAGCCAACCUUGAAAUACCACCCUGGGAUGUUUGAAGUUCUAACCUUGGUCCGUAAUCCGGAUUGGGGACAGUGUAUGGCGUAGUUUGACUGGGGCGGUCUCCUCCCAAAGAGUAACGGAGGAGUGCAAUGGUACGCUCAGCGCGGUCGGUCAUCGCGCUCUAGAGUGCAAAGGCAUAAGCGUGCUUAACUGUGAGACAGACACGUCGAACAGGUACGAAAGUAGGUCUUAGUGAUCCGGUGGUUCUGUAUGGAAGGGCCAUCGCUCAACGGAUAAAAGGUACUCCGGGGAUAACAGGCUUAUUCCUCCCAAGAGUCCACAUCGACGGAGGAGUUUGGCACCUCGAUGUCGGCUCAUCACAUCCUGGGGCUGUAGCAGGUCCCAAGGGUAUGGCUGUUCGCCAUUUAAAGUGGUACGCGAGCUGGGUUCAGAACGUCGUGAGACAGUUCGGUCCCUAUCUGCCGUGGGCGUUGGAAACUUGAGGGUGAGCUGUCCUUAGUACGAGAGGACCGGGAUGGACGUAUCUCUGGUGUUCCGGUUGUCACGCCAGUGGCACUGCCGGGUAGCUAUAUACGGACGGGAUAAGCGCUGAAAGCAUCUAAGCGCGAAGCCCCCCCCAAGAUUAGGUUUCCCUGGGAACUCGAUUCCCCUAAAGGGCCGUCGGAGACUACGACGUUGAUAGGCUGGGUGUGUAAGUGCAGCAAUGCAUUGAGCUAACCAGUACUAAUUGCCCGUGAGGCUUGACCAU